RNAcentral lists this ribosomal RNA (113 nucleotides) under Diaphorina citri (Asian citrus psyllid). The record is from RNAcentral. Lineage: Eukaryota; Metazoa; Arthropoda; Insecta; Hemiptera; Psyllidae.
GCCAACGGCGAUAACACUUUGAAUACACCAGUUCUAGACACUGAAGAUAACCAACGUUGCGCGUGGUUGGUAUACGGAUCGGUGACCAUUUGGGCAGUCGCGUGGUGCUGACU